This is a long non-coding RNA of Prosopis cineraria, 1430 nucleotides long. RefSeq lists it as uncharacterized. The transcript is spliced from 5 exons. NCBI's taxonomy places the organism in Eukaryota, Viridiplantae, Streptophyta, Magnoliopsida, Fabales, Fabaceae. The record is from RefSeq and is a predicted model, not a curated record.
UCCAUUUUUGCACUCUACAGCAACUGAUGCACCUGCACAAACGAACACACAUUAGGUAGCCAUUUUUUGGUUGGCUUUAGCCAAUCCAAAAUGCUAACACUAAGUGCCUGUUGGGUUGAAUGGAAUUUUACCUCAAAGAAUGAAAAGUUUGAAGGAAGAGUUAAAUCCUGGAACAACAAGGCUAAGGAGCUGAAAUUUACCUGCCAUGAAGUGACUGUUCCUGGAGAAAUCAUGCUGAAAACAUGUGUCGCAGUAGACAGUGCCAACAACAACUGGGGUAAGAAGCUUCUUAUCAUGGCUGCCAUCUGAGAAGCUAGUAAGUGUGAGAUUGAGAAUCAGAACUAAUAGGAACCAAGACAUUCUUCCCCUAGUUCUCUGAAACUCUGCCUAUGAGUAAAAAAAGGGAAAAUUGGACACAAACUUUCAUAUAGAACCCUACCCUUGAUGGACUAUUUAUGCCAAUCAUGCAAUAGCCACAGAUUCUGAUGGAAUGGUUUGAAAAAUGCCAAAUCCUACAGUUGGGUCCCUGCAGGUUCACGAGACCAAGAAAGUGGCCACAUGUUCUGUAAGUUCAUGAGACAUGGCUGAUGAUGACAAAAGACAAAGGAAAUAUACAAUUUUUUUAUGUUGCGGUUGCCAUUACUUCAUCAACUUUGUCUAUGUUUAUUUAACAGAGUUUAGAUAAAUUUUUUAGGUUAUAAAAAGCACAUGAAAAAAGGUUUAAGAAAAUCAUUCCAAAGUCGUUGCGGAAAUGCAGCAAGUCACUAUCUUCACUUCACGGGUUCACAAAAGGCUUGUUCACGGACGAAGGUUUCGCAUGUUCUAAUCAAAGAGGGCCAAUCAUUGAUGAAUCCAACAUAUGAAGUGGGGAAGGAAUUGGAGGCAAAGAGAUGGAGUGAAACCAAAACCUCCCAUUUUAUAUGUUUGGUAUGGUUGAAUUGGCUUCUCUGUGGAAGUCACUUCCAUUAAAAUUGAUGGAACUGAGUUUCACAUCCAACCCCAUGGAACCCAAUUUCACUUUCAUCUAAGCUCCAACUUUGACCAUUUUGCCCUACCCCCAUCUCUCCUUGUUAUUAACACUACGGAACGAUGAAGAGGACUGUGAAACAUAGGGCAUUGACUUUGCCGUCAAUGAUGUCGACAAUGAUGACUUUGGCAAAGAUGAAACCCACGACGAUGGGUUGAAUCUUAUACUCAACACGAAUGGACGAUGGACGACAGUAACUCUUUCAUUUUCUAAUUGAAUCCUCUCUUUGAUUUCUGUCUGUUGAUUCUUGUUAUCUGGUGAGUCAUCAAAGAUGAGGAACAAUGAGGAGAGGUUAAGAUUUUUUUUUUUUUUACAGAUCUGUAAUAUUUCUGGAUUGUUUUUUCGUUUGAAUGCUAUGAGGAACAACUGUAAAGAAAAAUAUAGGUUUUGUAUUUCCCAUUGA